UUGAUCCUGGCUCAGAAUCAACGCUGGCGGCGUGCCUAACACAUGCAAGUCGAACGAGAAAGUGGAGCAAUCCAUGAGUAGAGUGGCGUACGGGUGAGUUACACGUGACUAACCUUCCUUCGAGUGGGGAAUAACCUCGGGAAACCAGGUCUAAUACCGCAUAACAUCGUCGGGUGAAACUCCCGAUGAUCAAAGGGGUUAGACGCUUGAAGAGGGGGUCGCGGCUGAUUAGUUAGUUGGCGGGGUAAUUGCCCACCAAGACGAUGAUCAGUAUCCGGCCUGAGAGGGCGCACGGACACUCUGGAACUGAAACACGGUCCAGACUCCUACGGGAGGCAGCAGUGGGGAAUUUUGCGCAAUGGGGGAAACCCUGACGCAGCAACGCCGCGUGGAGGAUUAUGUCCCUUGGGAUGUAGACUCCUUUCGACAGGGAAGAAACUGACGGUACCUGUAGAAGAAGCCCCGGCUAACUUCGUGCCAGCAGCCGCGGUAAUAAGGU
Molecule: ribosomal RNA, 499 nt
Filed under: uncultured Acidobacteriota bacterium
Lineage: Bacteria; Pseudomonadati; Acidobacteriota
Description: bacterial SSU rRNA
Rfam family: Bacterial small subunit ribosomal RNA
Source: RNAcentral